UGGGGAAUAUUGCACAAUGGGCGCAAGCCUGAUGCAGCAACGCCGCGUGAGGGAUGACGGCCUUCGGGUUGUAAACCUCUUUUAGUAGGGAAGAAGCGAAAGUGACGGUACCUGCAGAAAAAGCACCGGCUAACUACGUGCCAGCAGCCGCGGUAAUACGUAGGGUGCGAGCGUUGUCCGGAAUUAUUGGGCGUAAAGAGCCCGUAGGCGGUCUGUCGCGUCUGCUGUGAAAACCCGAGGCUCAACCUCGGGCCUGCAGUGGGUACGGGCAGACUAGAGUGCGGUAGGGGAGAAUGGAAUUCCUGGUGUAGCGGUGGAAUGCGCAGAUAUCAGGAGGAACACCGAUGGCGAAGGCAGUUCUCUGGGCCGUAACUGACGCUGAGGAGCGAAAGCGUGGGGAGCGAACAGGAUUAGAUACCCUGGUAGUCCACGCCGUAAACGUUGGGCGCUAGAUGUGGGGACCAUUCCACGGUUUCCGUGUCGCAGCUAACGCAUUAAGCGCCCCGCCUGGGGAGUACGGCCGCAAGGC
Molecule: ribosomal RNA, 529 nt
Filed under: uncultured bacterium
Lineage: Bacteria
Description: partial 16S ribosomal RNA
Rfam family: Bacterial small subunit ribosomal RNA
Source: RNAcentral